UACAGUGUACAAGGAUGUUAACUGACCAGGGGCAAGUCUCGCCAAGCUGCAUGGGGGCAAAAGCAGGUUUCAAAGGGAUAGGUACAGUAUGAUUCCACAGGAUUGAAAAAGCCCAGAGCACUACAUACCAACAGUAACCUGGAUUGUCUACAGCCCUACGAUUGUAGAAUUAGCUUUUUGCAAAAGAGCAAAAAAAGUCAUAAUGAAAAUAGAAAGAAAGAAAGAAGAAACUCAAGAGUGAAACUGUAUUCAACAAAACCAGAUCCCAAAUCAAAGCAACUCUGAGAAUAAGGGAGACGUUCCGCCCUAGGGGUCUUUUUUGUCUGCAAAGGUGAGGGGGCAAUGGGAAGUUUGCUUUAGGAUUUUAUGUUUUCCCCUCUGACCUAAAGUAGCCCCCUACCUAAUGAUGUUUACUCACUGUGAAACUGUAUCUGCCCGACAUCUGCGUAGACCUCCACCAAGCCCAGCUCCCAGUUCUAAAGCACCAUCACACCCCAGGGUUUCCCCAGCCCCCCAUGCCCAUACCACCACCACCAACACUCAACACACAUACCCAAGCAUGGGUGGUGAACAGCAGUCCCCCCCCUUUUUUUAAGGAUUUAUUUAUUUAUUUGAGAGAGAGAGAGUGCCUGCAAGUGGGGAGAGGAGCAGACAGAGAGGGGGAAGCUGACUCUCCACUGAGCAAGGAGCCUACACAGGGCAGGGCUCAAUCUCACAACCCUGAGAUCAUGACCUGAGCCAAAAUCAAGAGACGGACUCUCAGUGACUGAGCCACCCAGGCGCCCCAGCAGUUCCCUUUUUUUUUGCUGAUCCAAUCAGACUAGAGAUGCCCCCCCACCACGUUGGCUGACUUCUCGUGUUCUCUGGAUCGUUUUUUAUAUAUCCUUUUUUUUUCAGAUUAUGAAAGUAAUAUAUGCACAUUCUACAACAUUUCAAAAUACCAAAUGAUCUAAAGGAGAAAGCUAACUGCCACCUUAAACAAAAAGCUGUAAGAUAUUAGUGUACCUUUUCCUGUUUCUUUUUUUCAGUACAUCUUUUUUUUUCCUGAAACUAAUACCAUAUUUUAUAUGUAGUUUGAUUUCUUGCUUUUUUUUAACACCUACAUCAUUAAUAUUUCCUGUAUCAUUAAGAUUCUUCAAACAUAGUUUUAAUAACUACAUAAUGUUUUAUUAUGUGAGUGUAACAUUAUUUAUUUAAUCAAUUGCCUAUUAUUGGAUAUUUGAAUUGUUUCUGAUUUUUACUCUAAUAACAGUGGGUGAACAUUCUAAAAAUAAAUUUGUAUAAACAUACAAUUAUUUCUUUAGUAUAAAUAGAUCUGAGCGCAAUUACUGGAACAAAAGAGAUAUAAAAUUAGACCAACUUCUACUUCAUAAGCUGUGUAUGAGAGUAUUUACUUUAUCACACUAUCAGCAGUCACUGGGUUUAGUAUUUGCCAAUUUGAUUUAUUCUCAUUUGCAUUUCAUUGAUGACUGAUGAAAAUUAACAUUCUCUCAUCUGUUUCCUAACCAGCUAUAUUUUUCUUCUGUAAGUCAUCUGUUUUAUCAACUUCUCUAGCAUUAUUUCUUCAUUUCUUAAAAUCUCUUUAAAGAUUAAAAUGCUAAUCCUUUUUGUUUAAAUAAAUGUGUCAUAAAGUUUUAAAAAUAUAUUUUUUGCCCAUGUAUUCUGGGAAUUCCCCCAAAUUCCAGGUACUCCCCCACCAUUGAGCAACCACUAAACAAAAUGUAAAAUAGCUUGUUCCCUGAUGGGUAAAGAAACUUAGCACUUAGAUUUGAUGCCCUGAAAGGUCAUCUAGUUCAACCUAUUCAUUUCCCCCAUGAGGAAGCCAAGGCUCAGAACAGUGGUUUAGCUACUGGGAGCUGACUUGAGGCCCAGAAACUGGAUCAGCUGAGUCAGCACUCUUUCCAUCUACCCAGGAGUUUUUCAAAUAUCUAUGAUAUCUACAUUCUACAUCCCAUAUUUAAUUUCCUUAAUAUUUUAAAUGCAAAAUGCAUAGAGAUAACUUAUAGAUAGAUGUUCCGAACUGGUGACUUUUUACUCAACGUUUUGAGCUCCCAGUUUUAAUAUAAAAAUAAUUUUCAAACAGAUGUUCCCUUUCUCAUAACUUCCUUUGAGAUAGAUCCUGUCUCUUUAGGGGCAAUCCUUAAGAUUUUCAACAUCCUCUAGAAUUAGGAUAAACUCUUACCACACAAAUUGCUCAGAUUAUCAAAGAAGUCAAGGUAGUCUGUUCUGGAUAUAUAACCAAGGACACAGAAUGAAGUGAGAGGAUGUAGUUUCAGGUUCAACAGAAGAAAUGGCAAAUUUUUGAUUGUUUGCAGAGGGGUAAGACUGUGGAGUCAGGGUCUCAGAUUCUCAUGCCCAUCACUGAUUAGCAGUAUAACCUUAGGCCAAUCAUAUAACCAGGACAACAAAAUGUGGGUAAUGAUGCAUAGUUUGUAGGAUUUUUAAGGCAAUGAAAAAGAAUCUAUCUCCCAUGCUUAAUAGGGUGUCUGACCCUUUGUAGAAAAGCAUACAAAUAAAUAUUCACUGUGGUACUUACUAAGCCAGAUGCUGUUUGAUGUGUUUUAUGAAAAUUAGCCCAUCAAUCAUUAAAUGAUAGUAUAUGGUCAAUACCACUGCUGUCAUAUUUUACAGCUGGGGAAACUAAGGCACAGAGAAAUAAAGGAACUUUCCCAAGAUGACAAGCUAGUCAGGAGAGCUGCAGGGGUUUGAACCCAGCAGUCUGGCCUCUGAGCCCAUUCAUAGUGCUGUGUCGACCUCCCCUCCCACUGUCUCAUGUAGGGGAAGCCUAUCUAGCUUUGCAACUUUGAUGAAACAAAGCAAUCUGCUAUGAUCUGAAUAUUCUGUCCCCCUGAAAUCCAUACAUUGAAAUCUAACCCCCAAAGCAAUGGUUUUAGGAAGUAGGGACUUUGAGGGUAAUAGGUCAUGAGGGUGGGGCCUUCACAAUUGAGAUUUGUGCCCUUACAAAAGAGACCCCGGAAAGCUCCCUCACCCCUUCCACCAUGUAGGACACAAUGAGGAGGCACCAUCUGUGAGCCAGGAAGCCGGACCUCCCCAGACACCUGCUACCACCAGGAUCUUAGACUUUCCAGAACUGAGAGAAAUAAAAUACGAUGGUAUAUCAUUACAGCCAAUUAAACAGAUGAAGAUAAAGGUGGGCGAGGAGGAGGAAUUGUUGGAAAGAUAUUUUUCAGCAGGAGAAAUGACUUCAUGGAGAGGUAAUGGGAUAGCCAUGCAAAAACAGAAAGCUAUGACUCCGCUUCAUCAUAAUAAGGUUCCAUAAAGCUGGGACCUUAGAGAAUAAAAUCCUAAAUUAGAGAGAAAAGGAACAACUUUCUGCAUACCAAUGACCUCGUGCUCGGCUUCAGCCCCCAGAAAAAUUAAAAUUUAAGUGGACAAGUGCUGUAGUAAAUGUAAAUUCCAAAUGCCAAGAGAACACUGAGGACAGAGCGCUUACAUCCUCUGGGGUGCUGGCGGUGGAGAGAGUGGAGAGGAGUGACAUUUGAAAUGGUCUUGAAGGAGGCCAAGAAAAUGGGAUUGGAAGACCGCAACCACACAGAGGAAGUGGCCAGUGCCCAGGUCCCUGGCCGUUGCGGCAAUUUCUCCAGACUACAUAGCAUUCCCCCCAAACUCCGUCUGCGUUUCCUGCUUCAAUAACCUUAAGCAUCCUGUUCUCGUGUCCUGAAAUAUGAUCUUUCCUGCUCUGACUUUUCCUGGCAAAAUUCUGCCUGACCAAGAGGCCAGCUCAAAUGCCACGUCCCCAUGAGGCCUUUGAGAAACUUCCAGGAAGCAUUAGUUUUACCCUUCAUUUGAGCUCACAUGUCAUCUUGAAAUGUGUAUAUAUUUACUUUUUUUAAAAAUAGCUAACACAUACCGAUAGUAAGAUUCAAGGAGUACAAGAGUGGGUUGCCUGGGUGGCUCUGUCAACUCUUGAUUUCAGCUCAGGUCAUGAUCUCAGUGUCGUAAGAUCAAACCCAGCAUCAGGGUCUGCACUGGGCGUGGAGUCUGCUUUUCCCUCUCCUCCUGCUCACACCCUCUCUCAGUCUCUCUCUAUCAAAUAAAUAAAUAAAUUUCUUUUUAAAAUAAAACAAAGAGUAUAAGAGUGAAAAAUAUGUCUUCCUCUUAUGCCUGCCGUCCAUGGUUCCCGGCCAUUUUCCUGGAGGCAACCAAUGUAUUAAGUUCCUCAUGGCAUUUUUCCGAAGCUAUUACAUUACGAUAGGUAUUCACCUGUGUACAUGCAUGAGCAUGUAUUUGUAAUUAUCCUAUACACAGACAUUCUUUUUUUAACAUGCAAAUUAUAGCCUGCUAUAUUCCCUGCUGCUUUUCUUACCUGAUAAUAUAUCAUGAAACUUUUUCCUUACCAAUAGAUUUUUGAGUUGCCUCACUCCAAAUUCCUUUAGUAGAGGACUAAGGAGUUCCUUCUCAGUUAUGGAUAAAUCUGAGAAUAUAAGACUAAAUAUAAAUGGAGACUCGGUGUGGUACCUUAGGCUUUUUCUCACUGUAUUGUAGGGAAAGGCAGUUUACAGUGUACAGAGCCCCGGACUAUGAGUCAGACUCAAAUCCUGGCUCUACCACCAAUCGCAGGACUUGCUCACAGCAGUUGGCUUCUCCAGACUUCAGGUGCCUCAUCUGUAAAAUUAAGCACUGAACUCCAAGGGGCCUCUCCAGUACUGAUAAUUCAUGUUUCUACAAAAACACUGAUAACACACAUGACUUUGAGAGCAGAUGUUAACAGAGAAGAAAGUAUGGAGCGUAGCUCAAAGUUCUUGCCAUGAUAAUAUUUCCCUCCUCCCAGGAUUUCCUUUUUGUCUUUCCUUGCUUGUCCUUCCCCUUCUACCCUCCAAACUUGACUCAGAGGCAUGCAUGUUGAAAAGGCCUGAGCAAGGGCACAUCAGCCAAGCUAAGCAUAAAGGGCCCCAGGCCUCUGAUUUCAGGACUGUGUUCAGCACUAGCUGUCUUAGAUUGCCACAAAAUACAAACAAAAUUUGGACCUCUUUUCCUUGAAACAUGUCCCAGUACAAUGGGGAGUUCGCUGGCCUAAUAAUCUGUAACAGAGAGAACUUAUAAAAUGAGUGCCUAAGAGAGUUUUCUGAGAGUGAUAGGAGAAAACACCCAGUCCAUUUACAGACCUCAGAAGCAGAGCAACUAUGUGGCCAAGGGCCCAAAGGUGAUUAUCAGGGAGGCCCUGGAAGUUCUCUGAGUUAUCCUUGGGGCUUUCCUGAACAAAACAAAAACACAUCACUCUCCCUCCCAAAUGUCCACAUCAAGGGCAAAAGUUCUCAAGUCUUUUAAGAACAUUCCCCACAACAACCUUAAAACUACAAAUUGAGGAUCAGAUAUCCACAGAGAAGCAAUUAGUACAGGUCCUAGAGCAGGGAGAGAGAUGCUGGAAAUCCAUCGGCUCUUGGCAAGGGCCUUGGAGCUCUCUUUACAUUAUCCACAGCUCCUACCUGGACUUCGAUGUUCACCUUUGAUGCCAACUCUCGUACCUUCACACAGCUGUCAUUAGUGUGUUUGAACCACAAGGCAUAAUCCCGAAUCUUUUUCUAGCAGCAUGGACUUUCAGAAAACACACUCCCUGUGAAUUGACUUGCCCUUUCUGUUCAUUUUUGCCCUCAUUUGUCUCUAC
Molecule: long non-coding RNA, 5626 nt
Organism: Mustela lutreola (European mink)
Lineage: Eukaryota; Metazoa; Chordata; Mammalia; Carnivora; Mustelidae
Exons: 4
Source: RefSeq, a predicted model, not a curated record